GGGAGGUAGUGACAAUAAAUAACAAUACAGGGUCCUUUCGGGUCUUGUAAUUGGAAUGAGUACAAUUUAAAUCUCUUAACGAGGAACAAUUGGAGGGCAAGUCUGGUGCCAGCAGCCGCGGUAAUUCCAGCUCCAAUAGCGUAUAUUAAAGUUGUUGCAGUUAAAAAGCUCGUAGUUGAAUUUCGGGAUCAAUGCGUCGGUCGUGCCUUCGGUACGUACUAACGUCAUUGAUUCUUCCCUUCUGAAGAACCGUGAUGUCAUUAAUUUGGUGUUACGGGGAAUCAGGACUGUUACCUUGAAAAAUUAGAGUGUUUAAAGCAGGCUAACGCUUGAAUACAUUAGCAUGGAAUAAUGAAAUAGGACGUUCGAACCUAUUUUGUUGGUUUCUAGGAUCGACGUAAUGAUUAAUAGGGAUAGUUGGG
This 422-nucleotide ribosomal RNA is filed under the name uncultured Glomeraceae. RNAcentral's name for it is "SSU rRNA". It matches the Rfam family "Eukaryotic small subunit ribosomal RNA", at positions 459 to 886 of the family's 1831-position model. The record is from RNAcentral. Lineage: Eukaryota; Fungi; Glomeromycota; Glomeromycetes; Glomerales; Glomeraceae.